UACGGAGGGUGCAAACGUUGCUCGGAAUCAUUGGGCGUAAAGCGCACGUAGGCGGUCCGGUAAGUCGGAUGUGAAAUCCCUCGGCUCAACCGAGGAAGUGCAUCCGAAACUGCCGGGCUUGAGUACGGAAGAGGGUCUCGGAAUUCCCGGUGUAGAGGUGAAAUUCGUAGAUAUCGGGAGGAACACCAGUGGCGAAGGCGGAGACCUGGGCCGAUACUGACGCUGAGGUGCGAAAGCGUGGGGAGCAAACAGG
Molecule: ribosomal RNA, 253 nt
Filed under: uncultured bacterium
Lineage: Bacteria
Description: partial 16S ribosomal RNA
Rfam family: Bacterial small subunit ribosomal RNA
Source: RNAcentral